Molecule: ribosomal RNA, 292 nt
Filed under: uncultured bacterium
Lineage: Bacteria
Description: partial 16S ribosomal RNA
Rfam family: Bacterial small subunit ribosomal RNA
Source: RNAcentral
GUGCCAGCAGCCGCGGUAAUACAGAGGUCUCAAGCGUUGUUCGGAUUCAUUGGGCGUAAAGGGUGCGUAGGCGGUGUGGAAAGUCGAAUGUGAAAUCUCGGAGCUCAACUCCGAAACUGCACUCGAUACUACCAUACUAGAGGAUUGUAGAGGAGAUCGGAAUUCACGGUGUAGCAGUGAAAUGCGUAGAUAUCGUGAGGAAGACCAGUUGCGAAAGCGGAUCUCUGGGCAACUCCUGACGCUGAGGCACGAAGGCUAGGGGAGCAAACGGGAUUAGAUACCCCGGUAGUCC